CUUUCUUUGCUGGCGACCGGCGCACGGGUGAGUAACACGUAUCCAACCUGCCUUUACUCGGGAGUAGCCUUUCGAAAGAAAGAUUAAUACCCGAUAGUAUAAUGAUUCCGCAUGGUUUCAUUAUUAAAGGAUUCCGGUAAAGGAUGGGGAUGCGUUCCAUUAGGUUGUUGGUGAGGUAACGGCUCACCAAGCCUUCGAUGGAUAGGGGUUCUGAGAGGAAGGUCCCCCACAUUGGAACUGAGACACGGUCCAA
RNAcentral lists this ribosomal RNA (253 nucleotides) under uncultured bacterium. RNAcentral describes it as "partial 16S ribosomal RNA". It matches the Rfam family "Bacterial small subunit ribosomal RNA", at positions 79 to 334 of the family's 1533-position model. The record is from RNAcentral.